AAGCAGGGGAUCGCAAGACCUUGCGCUCUUUGAGCGGCCGAUGCCUGAUUAGCUAGUUGGUGGGGUAAGGGCCUACCAAGGCGACGAUCAGUAGUUGGUCUGAGAGGACGACCAGCCACACUGGGACUGAGACACGGCCCAGACUCCUACGGGAGGCAGCAGUGGGGAAUUUUGGACAAUGGGCGAAAGCCUGAUCCAGCAAUGCCGCGUGAGUGAAGAAGGCCUUCGGGUUGUAAAGCUCUUUCAGUCGAGAAGAAAAGGUCGCGACUAAUAAUCGCGACUCAUGACGGUAUCGACAGAAGAAGCACCGGCUAACUACGUGCCAGCAGCCGCGGUAAUACGUAGGGUGCGAGCGUUAAUCGGAAUUACUGGGCGUAAAGGGUGCGCAGGCGGCUUUGUAAGUCAGAUGUGAAAUCCCCGGGCUUAACCUGGGAAUUGCGUUUGAAACUACAAAGCUAGAGU
RNAcentral lists this ribosomal RNA (462 nucleotides) under uncultured ammonia-oxidizing beta proteobacterium. RNAcentral describes it as "bacterial SSU rRNA". It matches the Rfam family "Bacterial small subunit ribosomal RNA", at positions 202 to 647 of the family's 1533-position model. The record is from RNAcentral. Lineage: Bacteria; Pseudomonadati; Pseudomonadota; Betaproteobacteria.